Non-coding RNA from Hordeum vulgare subsp. vulgare (domesticated barley), 136 nucleotides. Lineage: Eukaryota; Viridiplantae; Streptophyta; Magnoliopsida; Poales; Poaceae. The record is from Rfam.
CUCAUACUCCCUCCGUCCUAGAAUUCUUGUCUUAGGUUUGUCUAUAAAUGAAUGUAUCUAAAUACUAAAACGUGACUAGAUGCAUUCAUAUCUAGACAAAUUUAAGACAAGGAUUUUGGGACAGAGGGAGUACCUU